AGCGAACGCUGGCGGCAGGCCUAACACAUGCAAGUCGAACGAACCUUUCGGGGUUAGUGGCGGACGGGUGAGUAACACGUGGGAACGUGCCUUUAGGUUCGGAAUAACUCAGGGAAACUUGUGCUAAUACCGAAUGUGCCCUUCGGGGGAAAGAUUUAUCGCCUUUAGAGCUGCCCGCGUCUGAUUAGCUAGUUGGUUGAGGUAAUGGCUCAUCAAGGCGACGAUCAGUAGCUGGUAUGAGAGGAUGGUCAGCCACAUUGGGACUGAGACACGGCCCAGACUCCUACGGGAGGCAGCAGUGGGGAAUCUUGCGCAAUGGGCGAAAGCCUGACGCAGCCAUGACGCGUGAAUGAUGAAGGUCUUAGGAUUGUAAAAUUCUUUCAACGGGGACGAUAAUGACGGUACCCGGAGAAGAAGCCCCGGCUAACUUCGUG
RNAcentral lists this ribosomal RNA (434 nucleotides) under uncultured bacterium. RNAcentral's name for it is "partial 16S ribosomal RNA". It matches the Rfam family "Bacterial small subunit ribosomal RNA", at positions 29 to 507 of the family's 1533-position model. The record is from RNAcentral.